GGAGCAACAUCUGUGCGUGAAGCGGGUCAGGGGAGGAAUCCAGCAGCCCUAAGCGAUUUCAGGUGUGUGCUCUUUUU
This 77-nucleotide signal recognition particle RNA is filed under the name Streptococcus thermophilus CNRZ1066. RNAcentral describes it as "Bacterial small signal recognition particle RNA". It matches the Rfam family "Bacterial small signal recognition particle RNA", at positions 12 to 81 of the family's 97-position model. From Rfam's summary of the family: The signal recognition particle (SRP) is a universally conserved ribonucleoprotein involved in the co-translational targeting of proteins to membranes. The record is from Rfam by way of RNAcentral. Lineage: Bacteria; Bacillati; Bacillota; Bacilli; Lactobacillales; Streptococcaceae.